GAUGAAACGCAGCGAAAUGCGAUACGUAAUGUGAAUUGCAAAUUCAGUGAAUCAUCGAGUCUUUGAACGCACAUUGCGCCCCCUGGUAUUCCGGGGGGCAUGCCUGUCCGAGCGUCAUUGCUGCCCUCAAGCACGGCUUGUGUGUUGGGCCCCGUCCUCCGAUCCCGGGGGACGGGCCCGAAAGGCAGCGGCGGCACCGCGUCCGGUCCUCGAGCGUAUGGGGCUUUGUCACCCGCUCUGUAGGCCCGGCCGGCGCUUGCCGAUCAACCCAAAUUUUUAUCCAGGUUGACCUCGGAUCAGGUAGGGAUACCCGCUGAACUUAAGCAUAUCAAUAAGCGGAGGA
Molecule: unclassified non-coding RNA, 343 nt
Filed under: soil metagenome
Description: partial contains 5.8S ribosomal RNA, internal transcribed spacer 2, and large subunit ribosomal RNA
Rfam family: 5.8S ribosomal RNA (bases 1-117)
Source: RNAcentral